RNAcentral lists this ribosomal RNA (406 nucleotides) under uncultured bacterium. RNAcentral's name for it is "partial 16S ribosomal RNA". It matches the Rfam family "Bacterial small subunit ribosomal RNA", at positions 29 to 526 of the family's 1533-position model. The record is from RNAcentral.
AUUGAACGCUGGCGGCAUGCCUAACACAUGCAAGUCGAGCGAGCGGCGGACGGGUGAGUAAUGCCUGGGAAACUGCCUGAUGGAGGGGGGUAACUACUGGAAACGGUAGCUAAUACCGCAUACCAUCAGAUGUGCCGAGAUGGGGUUGGCUAGUAGGUGGGGUAAGGUGUCACCUUGGCGACGCUCCCUAGCGGGUCUGAGAGGAUGACCAGCGAUACUGGGACUGAGACAGGGUCCAGACUCCUACGGGAGGCAGCAGUGGGGAAUAGUGGACAAUGGGGGAAAGCCUGAUGCAGCCAUGCCGCGUGUGUGAAGAAGGGCUUCGGGUUGUAAAGCACUUUCAGCGGGGAGGCGUUACCCGCAGAAGAAGCACCGGCUAACUCCGUGCCAGCAGCCGCGGUAAUUC